Non-coding RNA from Arachis ipaensis, 1878 nucleotides. The record is from RefSeq and is a predicted model, not a curated record. NCBI's taxonomy places the organism in Eukaryota, Viridiplantae, Streptophyta, Magnoliopsida, Fabales, Fabaceae.
CAUUCCCAGCUCCUCCAGUUUUCAAAUCAAAGAAGCCACCGCCACUACCAUAAUCCUUAUUCUUCCCCCACUACUAAACCAUUCAUAUAGUCCAGCACCUCCAAAGCUUGCAUCAUCCUGGUUCUUCUCCUCCACAUAUAUGCUGGGAGCUGUGAUAUUGCCGUUCUUAUUCGCUGGUUUUCACUAUCUCCAUCUUCGGAACGAAAAAGACGUUUGUCUCUGUGGCGAGCCCGUGUCCUAGAGCCCCUUUUCUCUCUCCCCGAGGUCCGGUCGUUCCUCUCUCACCAUCAAUCCACUCCUCCCGCUGCAGUCAGGAAAGAUGCCCAGGAUAGGUCGUUACACGAAGAAAGCCCGGUUAGACACAGCAUGUCAGCAGCCUCAAGUAGGAUUUGAUGCGGCUUCAACUUCCCAUUAAGCGGAUUGCGUAAUUCUUGCAUCCAGUGGCAGUGGUUCCCCCGCAUUCUCAUCUUUACGCCCCUUUCGUCCGCCCCGUAGUGAACCACCGCCUGCUCCAUAGGCUUGCACGAAUGAUGUUCAAAACUCAGAGCCGGACACUGAAGACUUAGACCCAGAGGCAGAUGAGGUAGAUUCUUUUGAGCAACAUGUUGAUAACCUGUUUGCUGCAUCGGAUGCUUAGAAGCGUAAGGGACGCAAGACCACUGAAUUUUGGGAUGUUAAAACAAUUGAAUCUAAUGGCACAAUCAAACAGGUCAAAUUGAGUAUGAAGGAAGCUAUAAAGUCACCUAACGAAAGAAAGAUCGUACUUAGGUUUAACAGUGCACUGCAACCAGUUGGGGAUGAAUCAGGUAUAUUGAGUGGCGUUAUGGGACUGCUAGGAUCUGACUACACCAAAUUCCCAAUCUGCGAGAAGGACUGGAGAAAGGUUCGCAUCAGGGACAAGGUCUAUAAUGAAUGUGUAAAGAUAGUAGAGGAAUUAUCAAGCGUAUAAUAUUAAAAAUGCUAGGAAGGGUUUGGAAGGAAACGAAGAACAAGUUAUACCAUCACUGCUACGACUCAGAACUUUCACUUGAAGAAAAUAUUGAAAACUGUCCACUAGGAAUUACUGCAGACCAUUGGAGAUGGUUUCUCGAUUAUCGCAAUAGUGAAGAGACAAAGCAUGAUAGGAGAAGUGUAAGAAAAAUGCUGAGAAUCGAUCAAAGCAGCUUUACACCCACACUGGCGGAUUGAAAAGCUUGGCAAGGCUCGGAGAAGAAGAGUUGGAACGACAAGGGAGGAGAGUUAGUAGAGGAGAGUUGUAUCUCUUAACGCACAAAAGACCUAAUGGCUCCUAUAUCCAUGAUGCAGCUCGUGCUAUUGGAGAAAGAAAGAAAUGAGGCUAUUGAGCAAAGUGAUGAAUCCUCUAGACUGUUGUCUCAGAAUGAUUUGCUUGUUCAAGCUCUCGGAAAGGAGCACUCGGAUAAGGUGCGUGGCAUGGGUUUAGGGCCGACUUCUAGUCAAGUCUUCGGUAUAAAUUACCAUCAGCCGAGCAAUGGUUUUGAAAGGGAGGAGACCCAAAGGGUGCUGCUUGAACUACAAGCAGAGUUGGCAGCCGAAAAAUUAAAAAGGAAGGCAGUGGAGGAUGAAGUAGCAGUCGAGAAGACAAAAAGACAGGCAGUGGAGGAUGAAGUAGCAGCUGGGAAGGUAAGGAUGAAGGCAAUGGAGAGUGUAUGUCUACUUCAAGGGCAAGGUGGGAAGCUGCUAUCAGACGUCACCGCAUGGAUGAGUGCGUUGGAGGGACAGAUUAGAAAGUAAAUCUUAGGAUUGUGGAACCUUUUUUUUUAGAUAUACACCUUUUUGGUGUUGAUUACUUUUACUCUUAGUAAGGAGUACACUUUAUUGAUAUUUGGAUAAUUAUAUCAAUUAAAUUAAUGGUUUUGC